AAUGAACGCUGGCGGCGCGCCUAAUACAUGCAAGUCGAGCGAGAAGACGUAGCAAUACGUUUGUAAAGCGGCGAACGGGUGAGGAAUACAUGGGUAACCUACCCUCGAGUGGGGAAUAACUAGCCGAAAGGUUAGCUAAUACCGCGUACGCCCCUUGGACUUCGGUUCAGGGAGGAAAGCGAUACCGUGGGUAUCGCGCUCUUGGUUGGGCUCAUGUCCUAUCAGCUUGUUGGUGAGGAACGGCUCACCAAGGCUUCGACGGGUAGCUGGUCUGAGAGGACGAUCAGCCACACUGGCACUGCGACACGGGCCAGACUCCUACGGGAGGCAGCAGUAAGGAAUAUUGCGCAAUGGGCGAAAGCCUGACGCAGCGACGCCGCGUGGGGGA
RNAcentral lists this ribosomal RNA (388 nucleotides) under uncultured bacterium. RNAcentral describes it as "bacterial SSU rRNA". It matches the Rfam family "Bacterial small subunit ribosomal RNA", at positions 29 to 408 of the family's 1533-position model. The record is from RNAcentral.